RNAcentral lists this long non-coding RNA (268 nucleotides) under Mus musculus (house mouse). RNAcentral describes it as "long non-coding RNA chr4:110510034-110510302". Lineage: Eukaryota; Metazoa; Chordata; Mammalia; Rodentia; Muridae. The record is from RNAcentral.
AUGAUGAAGGGAACAUCAUCCUUUGGAAAGAAAGCAUCACACCAAGAUGCACCUACUGUGUUGCUGUUGUGGCUCUAAGGCCUCCUUACCUUCAGAAGUCAACCUAUGGCAAAUGUGACUACCCUGCCAAGUGCAAGAGAGAGUAUAACUAGAGUGCCAAGGUUAAGAGAAGAAACACUAUUGCAACUGGUAGGAUAAGGCACCAAAAAUUGUCUAUCGCAGAUUCAGAUAUAGAUUCCAUGAAGGAACAACACCUAAACAUAAGAGA